UGGUUUGAUUAUGGCUCAGGACGAACGCUGGCGGCGUGCUUAACACAUGCAAGUCGAACGGAAAGGCCCUGCUUUUGUGGGGUGCUCGAGUGGCGAACGGGUGAGUAACACGUGAGUAACCUGCCCUUGACUUUGGGAUAACUUCAGGAAACUGGGGCUAAUACCGGAUAGGAGCUCCUGCUGCAUGGUGGGGGUUGGAAAGUUUCGGCGGUUGGGGAUGGACUCGCGGCUUAUCAGCUUGUUGGUGGGGUAGUGGCUUACCAAGGCUUUGACGGGUAGCCGGCCUGAGAGGGUGACCGGCCACAUUGGGACUGAGAUACGGCCCAGACUCCUACGGGAGGCAGCAGUGGGGAAUAUUGCACAAUGGGCGGAAGCCUGAUGCAGCAACGCCGCGUGCGGGAUGACGGCCUUCGGGUUGUAAACCGCUUUCGCCUGUGACGAAGCGUGAGUGACGGUAAUGGGUAAAGAAGCACCGGCUAACUACGUGCCAGCAGCCGCGGUGAUACGUAGGGUGCGAGCGUUGUCCGGAUUUAUUGGGCGUAAAGGGCUCGUAGGUGGUUGAUCGCGUCGGAAGUGUAAUCUUGGGGCUUAACCCUGAGCGUGCUUUCGAUACGGGUUGACUUGAGGAAGGUAGGGGAGAAUGGAAUUCCUGGUGGAGCGGUGGAAUGCGCAGAUAUCAGGAGGAACACCAGUGGCGAAGGCGGUUCUCUGGGCCUUUCCUGACGCUGAGGAGCGAAAGCGUGGGGAGCGAACAGGCUUAGAUACCCUGGUAGUCCACGCUGUAAACGGUGGGUACUAGGUGUGGGGUCCAUUCCACGGGUUCCGUGCCGUAGCUAACGCUUUAAGUACCCCGCCUGGGGAGUACGGCCGCAAGGCUAAAACUCAAAGGAAUUGACGGGGCCCCGCACAAGCGGCGGAGCAUGCGGAUUAAUUCGAUGCAACGCGUAGAACCUUACCUGGGUUUGACAUGGAUCGGGAGUGCUCAGAGAUGGGUGUGCCUCUUUUGGGGUCGGUUCACAGGUGGUGCAUGGCUGUCGUCAGCUCGUGUCGUGAGAUGUUGGGUUAAGUCCCGCAACGAGCGCAACCCUUGUUCACUGUUGCCAGCACGUUAUGGUGGGGACUCAGUGGAGACCGCCGGGGUCAACUCGGAGGAAGGUGGGGAUGACGUCAAGUCAUCAUGCCCCUUAUGUCCAGGGCUUCACGCAUGCUACAAUGGCUGGUACAGAGAGUGGCGAGCCUGUGAGGGUGAGCGAAUCUCGGAAAGCCGGUCUCAGUUCGGAUUGGGGUCUGCAACUCGACCUCAUGAAGUCGGAGUCGCUAGUAAUCGCAGAUCAGCAACGCUGCGGUGAAUACGUUCCCGGGGCUUGUACACACCGCCCGUCAAGUCAUGAAAGUUGGUAACACCCGAAGCCGGUGGCCUAACCGUUGUGGGGGAGCCGUCGAAGGUGGGACUGGUGAUUAGGACUAAGUCGUAACAAGGUAUCC
Molecule: ribosomal RNA, 1485 nt
Filed under: Propionibacteriaceae bacterium
Lineage: Bacteria; Bacillati; Actinomycetota; Actinomycetes; Propionibacteriales; Propionibacteriaceae
Description: bacterial SSU rRNA
Rfam family: Bacterial small subunit ribosomal RNA
Source: RNAcentral